RNAcentral lists this ribosomal RNA (465 nucleotides) under Vreelandella stevensii. Its description in RNAcentral is "partial 16S ribosomal RNA". It matches the Rfam family "Bacterial small subunit ribosomal RNA", at positions 338 to 795 of the family's 1533-position model. Lineage: Bacteria; Pseudomonadati; Pseudomonadota; Gammaproteobacteria; Oceanospirillales; Halomonadaceae. The record is from RNAcentral.
CCUACGGGGGGCAGCAGUGGGGAAUAUUGGACAAUGGGGGCAACCCUGAUCCAGCCAUGCCGCGUGUGUGAAGAAGGCCCUCGGGUGGUAAAGCACUUUCAGUGAGGAAGAACGCCUGGUGGUUAAUACCCAUCAGGAAAGACAUCACUCACAGAAGAAGCACCGGCUAACUCCGUGCCAGCAGCCGCGGUAAUACGGAGGGUGCGAGCGUUAAUCGGAAUUACUGGGCGUAAAGCGCGCGUAGGUGGCUUGAUAAGCCGGUUGUGAAAGCCCCGGGCUCAACCUGGGAACGGCAUCCGGAACUGUCAAGCUAGAGUGCAGGAGAGGAAGGUAGAAUUCCCGGUGUAGCGGUGAAAUGCGUAGAGAUCGGGAGGAAUACCAGUGGCGAAGGCGGCCUUCUGGACUGACACUGACACUGAGGUGCGAAAGCGUGGGUAGCAAACAGGAUUAGAUACCCCGGUAGUC